Saccostrea echinata is the source of this 1198-nucleotide long non-coding RNA. RefSeq lists it as uncharacterized. The record is from RefSeq and is a predicted model, not a curated record. NCBI's taxonomy places the organism in Eukaryota, Metazoa, Mollusca, Bivalvia, Ostreida, Ostreidae. The transcript has 3 exons.
UGUGUUUUCAUUCGCUAAAAUAUAACGACCAAAUCUAUACUGAAACAAGUAGGAUUUAGAAGCUGAAACGGAGUGGAUUUUUCAACAGAUUAUCCGUUAAGCCAUGUGUUUGGUUGAAAUGUCUCUCUAGUUGUGUGUCCUGGGAUUCGUUGGAUGUAGGGAUUUUAAAACAAUGAGGUCCGCUGCGCGUGUCUGGCUGUGACAAAACGUCAGAAAGACUUCAGCAGCAGCUAAGAGUUUUGCCAAUAAAGAUGAAGACAAAAUUGCCUACUUUGAAAUGUGAAUUAAUGGGAUACUGAUUGUGUUGGUCACCUACAAGCAAACUAUCAAUAACCACAAGGCUAUUUCAGGCCAUAUCAGCACACAAAAAGAUGGAAAAAAGAAGGAAGGGGGAAAGAAAUCGACACUGGUUUUGAUAGCGAAAUCAGAUAAAGUGAAGAACCCAGCGUGCCUAUCAUAAACUGAAAAGUAUUAUUUCGUGUAAAAUGCAUGUCUAUUACUUGAAGCAAGAAGGACUCCAUUUUCAAAAACCAGACACCCUAGAAGAAUUAUCGUUCAAUAUUACAGCAACAACAAAGUCUGGAUUGGGAAUAACAUAUAAGAACGUAUACAUGCAUGUAUAUGAAACGGUCAUAAUUAUAUAUGAAUUAAAAGUUUGACUGAUAAGAACAAAACUCAUCUCCUGGGCAUCUAAAUCUAAUCAUUGAUCAUAAAUUUAAGGACAUCGCUUUUCCUAUCCCCCUUUUAGAACCAAUUCGUAGUUGGUUUUUUAUUGUUCCUUGUUUUGGUUGGGGUGCGCAUCAAACGUUGCGAAGAGCUAUGAAUUAAACCACGAUACUAACCAAGUAUUUACAUAGAAAACACAAUAAAGACAUUAUGAACAUAGGACCCUCUUUCUGUAAAUUGCUUCACCCUUAGAUACAAGGCAGGGAUUGUAGCCGGACAAAAAAUGAAUACUCGUUCUUUUUCGUCAGGAUUAAUUGUACAAUUCUUUCAGCAAUAGGAAACUGGACCAUUGGAAGAAAAUGCAAUGCCCACCAAAGCAUGUUACAUUACAAAUCUUAUUUCAUAUGACGUCAUAUGAUGCCUUCAUUCCAACAAAUCAACAUGUAUAUUUGCAAAGAGGGGAAAUGUGUUUAUUUAUCCAUGCAUGUAAAUAUGUGACGAUAUAUUCUAAAAUAAAAUCUUCUAAUAUACA